GCCGCGGUGGUCUAGCGGUUAGAACGCUGGCCUUGUAAUCCUGGGGUCUCGGGUUCGAUUCCCGGCUGUGCCC
This is a non-coding RNA of Zootermopsis nevadensis, 73 nucleotides long. Lineage: Eukaryota; Metazoa; Arthropoda; Insecta; Blattodea; Termopsidae. The record is from Rfam.